AGACGUCUACAUUAGAUACCCGUGUAGUCCUAGCCGUAAACGAUACUCGCUAGGUGUCGGCCACGGUGCGACCGUUGUCGGUGCCGUAGGGAAGCCGUGAAGCGAGCCACCUGGGAAGUACGGCCGCAAGGCUGAACUUAAAGGAAUUGCGGGGAGCACCACGAACGCGUGGAGCCUGCGGUUUAAUUGGAUUCAACGCCGGACAUCUCACCAGGGCGACAGCAGAAUGAUGGCCAGGUUGAUGACCUUGCUUGACAAGCUG
Molecule: ribosomal RNA, 262 nt
Filed under: uncultured archaeon
Lineage: Archaea
Description: partial 16S ribosomal RNA
Rfam family: Archaeal small subunit ribosomal RNA
Source: RNAcentral